CGCAGACGGGAAGCUGCUCAGCACCGGCUUCAGCAGGAUGAGUGAGCGGCAACUCGCGCUCUGGGACCCGGUAGGCCAGGCCGCGCCGGGCGCGCUAGCUCGCUCCUUCUCUGGGUCUGCCGGGAGCGCCUUCCCGGGCUGUGGCUGGCGCCCAAGAGGCCAGAGCGGAGCGGGGAGCUCCCAUUCGGGAAAAGCCUCGCUGCGACUCCGGGGAGCCAGCAGACACCGCUGCUCUAGGGAUCGGCCUUUGAGCGCGCUUAAGGGUUCGGGAUCGGCUGAGAGCCGCGUGCCUCCUGCUCUCUCCAGGCCCGGAUGCUCUCCAGGUCAGGGGCCAGACGUGGCCCCGCAGGAAGCUGAGUGCUUAGGCCCCAUUUGUCUCUUCCCCGCAUCCGCUCCUCCACCCCGGACACCCAAGUUAGCAAGCUGGUUGCUCAUCCCUCCAUGCUCCUCAGGGCAGGCAGCUGGGUGAUGUCCCUCCCUGUCUCCCCCUCCCCCCAGGAGAGGUUUGCGGCCCACGAGGGGAUGAGGCCCAUGCGGGCCGUCUUCACGCGCCAGGGCCAUAUCUUCACCACGGGCUUCACCCGCAUGAGCCAGCGAGAGCUGGGCCUGUGGGACCCGGUAACGCAGCUGGAGGCUUGGGUUUUGCUGCGUCGCGUGAAGGAUCCUGCGCUGGCGCCCCCACCUGGUGAUGCCGAGUCCCUGGGGGUGGUUUGCUGUGACUGCAUGCGGCGCGCAGCGGAACAACUUCGAGGAGCCAGUGGCACUGCAGGAGAUGGACACAAGCAACGGGGUCCUAUUGCCCUUUUACGAUCCCGACUCCAGCAUCGUCUACCUGUGUGGCAAGGGCGACAGCAGCAUUCGGUACUUUGAGAUUACCGACGAGCCGCCUUUCGUGCACUACCUGAACACGUUCAGCAGCAAAGAGCCGCAGCGGGGCAUGGGUUUCAUGCCCAAAAGGGGACUGGAUGUCAGCAAGUGUGAGAUCGCCCGGUUCUACAAGCUACACGAAAGAAAGUGUGAACCUAUCAUCAUGACUGUGCCCCGCAAGUCAGACCUGUUCCAGGACGAUCUGUACCCGGAUACGCCAGGCCCGGAGCCGGCCCUAGAAGCGGACGAAUGGCUAUCCGGCCAGGACGCCGAACCCGUGCUCAUUUCGCUGAGGGACGGCUAUGUGCCCCCUAAGCACCGCGAGCUCCGGGUCACGAAGCGCAACAUCCUGGACCUUCGCCCGCCCUCCGGCCCCCGCCGCAGCCAGUCGGCCAGCGACGCCCCCUUGUCGCAGCACACUCUGGAGACGCUGCUGGAAGAGAUCAAGGCCCUCCGCGAGCGGGUGCAGGCCCAGGAGCAGCGCAUCACGGCUCUGGAGAACAUGCUGUGCGAGCUGGUGGACGGCACGGACUAGCCCCGCGCGCCAGGCAGGCGGAGCGGGGCGGGGCGGGGCGCACAAGCUCGGCCCCGCCCCGGCUUUUAGUCCCGAACUCCGGACCCCGCCUUCUUGGGCUGGGCCCGGGGGCGGGACUGGGAAGGGAACUCCGCCCCUCGCGGGAGACCAGAACUCUUGGAGCUUAGGGGAGACCCACGUCGCUCCAGCGGAGGCUGGACUGCGAGCCUCGUCUGGGACUCGGCUGGAGCUGGCCUAGGGAGGCCCGUGGUAACCUGGGGGGCUCAGCAAUGGUGCUGCACGGCGAGGUGGUGUCCCCCUUUGUCCUCCGCCCAGGGCAGGGAAAGUGCUUAGUAUUAGCGUGAUGCUUGGGGAUAUUGGAGCCUGAGCUUGACCUCAAACGGGUGGCGAUUUGAUGGGUACCCCCAGGCUGGGGAAAAUGACAGCGCUUCUCCUAAUCAGCUCACUGGAUUCCAUCACCCUGAGCGGUAAACCAGAUGGGCGUCACCCCAGUUCUGCAGACACAUACACAACCCCUUUGCUGCAGAGCCGGACCCAGUAGCUACACCCACAGCGGUCUGUGGUAGAGAGCUCUCUUCCUUCUUUCCACCGACAGGGGCGAGGGCUGCUUCCUCGCGGCAGCCCCCGCGAAGAAAUCUCGACAGAACUGGCAUGAGGAGUUAGGUUCAUCACAAAUACACACACACUGCCCCCAACCCUCUGCCGUUGCCUCUCUCAGAAAAACAAGACGUACUGAAUGAAAUAUUUUACUAAGCGUUCAGUCUGUGCCUCCUGCAUGGGUGGGAGUGAGGGGAACGAGACCCCCAGCCUCUGCAAAUGCUACCCCCAGGCUCCUGGGAGACCUGGCGAUGCACUCCUGGGCUCAGGGCCCAUCAGGCAGCCUCUUACCCUAGAGCUCUCUCCACUCUGAGGUUCAGAAGGACCCCAACCCACACCGUAGGCGUUCCCCCCAAGUAAAGUUAGGUAGCAAAAGCCUCCGGU
Molecule: small RNA, 2383 nt
Filed under: Pan troglodytes (chimpanzee)
Lineage: Eukaryota; Metazoa; Chordata; Mammalia; Primates; Hominidae
Description: retained intron
Source: RNAcentral